Molecule: long non-coding RNA, 378 nt
Organism: Hippocampus comes (tiger tail seahorse)
Lineage: Eukaryota; Metazoa; Chordata; Actinopteri; Syngnathiformes; Syngnathidae
Exons: 3
Source: RefSeq, a predicted model, not a curated record
CCCUCCCGGUGCCGUCCCCGUUCAGAUGUGUCUGCAGUGGCACAGAGCCAGAAGAAAAGCCGCCAUACUGGAUCAAGACCAUAUUUGUUGCACAGUGUUCUAACAUCGACACAACUACAUUGGUGGUUACAGAAGUUGAAAUUAUCCAGACUAAUUCAAGUCGUUCGGCCCGUGGGGAUCCAUUUUGAGCAAAGGCUGGUCUGUCGAACCUGGACGGAUUCUACAAAAGGCCUGCCCCUGCUGCACGCUGAUUGGUUGGACGAGACAGGCCGGAGAGAAUCUGAUUGGACGGUACUGAGUUGACCUGUGGUGUUACCAUAAUGCGUAACAAUAAAGACGGCUGACCCAGGCAGGCUCACAAACCUCUUCCUCGUCUUG